Mauremys mutica (yellowpond turtle) is the source of this 411-nucleotide long non-coding RNA. RefSeq lists it as uncharacterized. The record is from RefSeq and is a predicted model, not a curated record. The transcript has 3 exons. Lineage: Eukaryota; Metazoa; Chordata; Testudines; Geoemydidae.
UGACUAGUCGACCCGCCCGCCGCCGCCGCGCAGGACCCCAACGAGCCGGGGCCGCCCCACCAACCGCCUGCCCCGCCGCGGUCUCCGCCUCGGGCAACACCUCGCCCUCAGCUGGCACACACCGACCUCACCCCGGGGGCACAAGUGAACAACUUUUGUAUAGUUGGAGUGGGCUACAUCCUUUUUGACAAUUGCACAGACUGUAACCCUAAAACUCCUGCUGAGUUUUAGAGUUUUGUUUGGUUAAAUCCAGUGACACUUCUGGAAUAUCUACGGUCAGAAAAUCAUUAUGAGCUACUGGAUUUGUGUCUAUUGGCAGAGAUGCCUAACCUCCAAGAAACAGAAGGAUUGACAGUCUUAAUACCCUGCCCAGUUCCCAGGAAAUCAAUCCUGCAUGUUACAAAUAUCGGA